Molecule: small RNA, 539 nt
Filed under: Pongo abelii (Sumatran orangutan)
Lineage: Eukaryota; Metazoa; Chordata; Mammalia; Primates; Hominidae
Description: processed transcript
Source: RNAcentral
GUUGGAGCCUCAAUGCGCCCGUAAAACACUGGCACACCACAUAGGGCACUUGUGGGCAACAGAUGAAAACAGUUUCAGUCAUUGGAAUAGAGCUGUGUCCCCCUGGAAAACGGUUCAUGAUUACGAUGGUGGCGAGCUUCGUGGCCAUGGCGGGCCAGUUCCUCAUGCCCGGGCUAGCCGCCCUGUGCCGGAACUGGCAGGAUAUUCCCUGAGUCCCUCCGGUGGCUAAUGGCCACCCAGCAGUUUGAGUCUGCAAAGAGGCUGAUCCUCCACUUCACACAGAAGAACCGCAUGAACCCUGAGGGCGACAUCAAGGGUGUGAUGCCAGAGCUGGAGAAGGAGCUUUCCCGGAGGCCCAAGAAGGUCUGCAUCGUGAAGGUGGUGGGGACACGGAACCUGUGGAAGAACAUUGUGGUCCUGUGUGUGAACUCGCUGACGGGGUACGGGAUCCACCACUGCUUUGCCAGAAGUAUGAUGGGCCACGAGGUGAAGGUGCCGCUCCUGGAGAACUUCUACGCUGACUACUACACCACGGCCAG